GAGUUUGAUCAUGGCUCAGAACGAACGCUGGCGGCAUGCCUAACACAUGCAAGUCGAACGAAGGCUCCCCUUCGGGGGAUGUCCUUAGUGGCGCACGGGUGAGUAACGCGUGGGAACCUGCCUUAGAGUGUGGAAUAACCACUGGAAACGGUGGCUAAUACCGCAUACGCCCCUCGGGGGAAAGGCUUCGGCCGCUCUUAGAUGGGCCCGCGUCCGAUUAGCUAGUGGUGAGGUAACGGCUCACCAAGGCGACGAUCGGUAGCUGGUCUGAGAGGAUGAACAGCCACACUGGGACUGAGACACGGCCCAGACUCCUACGGGAGGCAGCAGUGGGGAAUAUUGGACAAUGGGGGAAACCCUGAUCCAGCAAUGCCGCGUGAGUGAAGAAGGCCUUAGGGUUGCAAAGCUCUUUCGGACGGAACGAAACGGUUACGGUGAAUAAUCGUGACUAAUGACGGUACCGUAAGAAGAAGCACCGGCUAACUACGUGCCAGCCGCCGCCGUAAC
RNAcentral lists this ribosomal RNA (507 nucleotides) under uncultured Alphaproteobacteria bacterium. RNAcentral describes it as "bacterial SSU rRNA". It matches the Rfam family "Bacterial small subunit ribosomal RNA", at positions 9 to 524 of the family's 1533-position model. The record is from RNAcentral. Lineage: Bacteria; Pseudomonadati; Pseudomonadota; Alphaproteobacteria.